RNAcentral lists this ribosomal RNA (502 nucleotides) under uncultured fungus. RNAcentral describes it as "SSU rRNA". It matches the Rfam family "Eukaryotic small subunit ribosomal RNA", at positions 249 to 754 of the family's 1831-position model. Lineage: Eukaryota; Fungi. The record is from RNAcentral.
GAUCAUGAUAACUAGUCGAAUCGACAGGCCUUGUGCCGGCGAUGGCUCAUUCAAAUUUCUUCCCUAUCAACUUUCGAUGUUUGGGUCUUGUCCAAACAUGGUGGCAACGGGUAACGGAGGGUUAGGGCUCGACCCCGGAGAAGGAGCCUGAGAAACGGCUACUACAUCCAAGGAAGGCAGCAGGCGCGCAAAUUACCCAAUCCCGACACGGGGAGGUAGUGACAAUAAAUACUGAUACAGGGCUCUUUUGGGUCUUGUAAUCGGAAUGAGUACAAUUUAAAUCCCUUAACGAGGAACAAUUGGAGGGCAAGUCUGGUGCCAGCAGCCGCGGUAAUUCCAGCUCCAAUAGCGUAUAUUAAAGUUGUUGUGGUUAAAAAGCUCGUAGUUGAACCUUGGGCCUGGCUGGCCGGUCCGCCUCACCGCGUGCACUGGUCCGGCCGGGCCUUUCCCUCUGCGGAACCCCAUGCCCUUCACUGGGUGUGGCGGGGAACCAGGACUUUUA